UCGUAGUUGAAUUGUGGAGUAUGGCCACGGGAUUCAGUCCNUUUCCCACGGUCUAGGAACGUCCCGACCAUACUCCGAGAACGUCAGAAACUAAGAUCACGGAAGCGUUUUUUACAAACUGCCACCGACUACGCGAGCAAUGUUCGCUGGUGGACGUCCGUGUUUUUUACUGUGACUAAAGAAGUGCGACCAAGGCAGUCCAUCGACAUGAAUUAGGAAGCAUGGGAUAACAAAGCAGCAGCCUAUGAGCUACCGUUUAGGCUUUUGUUGGUUUUAAAGGUUCGUGGGAGAUUACGGGCGUGUAGGACCGGCGUUGGGGGUUUUCCAAAAUCCCCGCGUCUCCUCCUGGCAUCGGAAACGGUGCUUGCGGGGCCCGCUUCGCUCAGGAAUGAAGGAGGGUUGCUCGGGGGAAAACGUACUUGGGCGUGAGAGGUGAAAUUCUUAGACCGCCCAAAGACGAACUACAGCGAAGGCAUUUUCCAAGGAUACCUUCCUCAAUCAAGAACCAAAGUGUGG
Molecule: ribosomal RNA, 516 nt
Filed under: uncultured marine eukaryote
Lineage: Eukaryota
Description: SSU rRNA
Rfam family: Eukaryotic small subunit ribosomal RNA
Source: RNAcentral